CGUAGGUGGCAAGCGAUACUCGGAAUCACUAGGCGUAAAGCGCAGGUAGGAGGUUUGGAAAGUCUCUUGUGAAAGCUCCCGGCUUAACUGGGAGAGGUCAAGGGAAACUGCCAGGCUGGAGUGCGGUAGAGGUAGCUGGAAUUCCCGGUGUAGCGGUGAAAUGCGUAGAUAUCGGGAGGAAUACCUAUGGCGAAAGCAGGCUACUGGACCGUCACUGACUCUGAUCUGCGAAAGCUAGGGGAGCAAACAGGAUUAGAUACCCUGGUAGUCCUAGCCCUAAACGAUGCUCAUUAGGUGUGGGAGGUAUCGACCCCUUCCGCGCCGUAGCUAACGCAUUAAAUGAGCCGCCUGGGGAGUACGGCCGCAAGGUUG
Molecule: ribosomal RNA, 372 nt
Filed under: uncultured organism
Description: bacterial SSU rRNA
Rfam family: Bacterial small subunit ribosomal RNA
Source: RNAcentral